This 775-nucleotide ribosomal RNA is filed under the name uncultured Alphaproteobacteria bacterium. RNAcentral's name for it is "bacterial SSU rRNA". It matches the Rfam family "Bacterial small subunit ribosomal RNA", at positions 369 to 1161 of the family's 1533-position model. Lineage: Bacteria; Pseudomonadati; Pseudomonadota; Alphaproteobacteria. The record is from RNAcentral.
CAAUGGGGGAAACCCUGAUGCAGCGAUGCCGCGUGAGUGAAGAAGGCCUUUGGGUUGUAAAACUCUUUCGUCGGGGAAGAAAAUGACUGUACCCGAAUAAGAAGGUCCGGCUAACUUCGUGCCAGCAGCCGCGGUAAUACGAAGGGACCUAGCGUAGUUCGGAAUUACUGGGCUUAAAGAGCUCGUAGGUGGUUAAAAAAGUUGAUGGUGAAAUCCCAAGGCUCAACCUUGGAACUGCCAUCAAAACUUUUUAGCUAGAGUGUGAUAGAGGUAAGUGGAAUUUCUAGUGUAGAGGUGAAAUUCGUAGAUAUUAGAAAGAACACCAAAUGCGAAGGCAACUUACUGGGUCACUACUGACACUGAGGAGCGAAAGCAUGGGUAGCGAAGAGGAUUAGAUACCCUCGUAGUCCAUGCCGUAAACGAUGUGUGCUAGACGUUGGAAAUAUAUUUUUCAGUGUCGCAGCGAAAGCAUUAAGCACACCGCCUGGGGAGAACGACCGCAAGGUUAAAACUCAAAUGAAUUGACGGGGACCCGCACAAGCAGUGGAGCAUGUGGUUUAAUUCGAAGAUACGCGCAGAACCUUACCAACACUUGACAUGUUCGUCGCGAGACUAAGAGAUUAGUCUUUUCAGUUCGGCUGGACGAAACACAGGUGCUGCAUGGCUGUCGUCAGCUCGUGUCGUGAGAUGUUGGGUUAAGUCCCGCAACGAGCGCAACCCUCACUUUUAGUUGCCAUCAUUAAGUUGGGCACUCUGAAAGAACUGCCAGUGAUAA